Molecule: long non-coding RNA, 777 nt
Filed under: Mytilus galloprovincialis (Mediterranean mussel)
Lineage: Eukaryota; Metazoa; Mollusca; Bivalvia; Mytilida; Mytilidae
Source: RNAcentral
AAUAUACAAUGUAUAUUCACUUUUACUACCAACUGAUAGAUUAAAACAAUCUUUACCAUUCAGUGAUAACAAGCACUUUUUUACAUUUUAAUAUUUUAUGAUGUAUUUAAAUGAGUAGUUAUUGUUGCAAACUUCAUUAGAAAUUUGAAUUGAGAUCAGUUUUGAAAUAAGGGAAAGGGGGAUGUGAAAAAAAAAUUCGAGGGUCAAUUUUUUUCAUUUCAGAUUUCAUAAAUAAAAAGAAAAUUUCUUCAAACAUUUUUUUGAGAGGAUUAAUAUUCAACAGCAUAGUGAAUUACUCAAAGGCAAACAUUUUUUUUUAAGUUCAUUAGACCACAUUCAUUCUGUGUCAGAAAACCUAUGCUGUGUCAACUAUUUAAUCACAAUCCAAAAUUUAGAGCUGAAUCCAGCUUGAAUGUUGUGUCCAUACUUGCCCAACCGUUCAGGGUUCAACCUCUGCGGUCGUAUAAAGCUGCGCCCUGCGGAGCAUCUGGUUAUUCUUAUUAUAGAUUUUAAUGCUGACACAUUAAGCAGUCAAUCAAUAAUAUAUUAUUUCAGUAGAAAAUUUAGUAAUCAAAUUUAUUGAUUUUUUAACCAUUUUAUUGAACAUGAAUACCUCAAUAUGUAAAGACAAGAAUUGGGAAUAAAAAACAUUAUGCAAUAUUCACGUUCCAUUAAAAGAAUAAUGUUAAGAUUAAUUUUAAUAUGUAUUUAAUUGAGUUUGAAAUAUUUGUUUUACUUGGCUUAGUUGAUCUUUGUUUAUAAAUUGUUUUGUUAAUU